This 667-nucleotide ribosomal RNA is filed under the name Salmonella enterica subsp. enterica serovar Infantis. Its description in RNAcentral is "partial 23S ribosomal RNA". It matches the Rfam family "Bacterial large subunit ribosomal RNA", at positions 711 to 1374 of the family's 2925-position model. The record is from RNAcentral. Lineage: Bacteria; Pseudomonadati; Pseudomonadota; Gammaproteobacteria; Enterobacterales; Enterobacteriaceae.
AGACCCGAAACCCGGUGAUCUAGCCAUGGGCAGGUUGAAGGUUGGGUAACACUAACUGGAGGACCGAACCGACUAAUGUUGAAAAAUUAGCGGAUGACCUGUGGCUGGGGGUGAAAGGCCAAUCAAACCGGGAGAUAGCUGGUUCUCCCCGAAAGCUAUUUAGGUAGCGCCUCGUGAAUUCAUCUCCGGGGGUAGAGCACUGUUUCGGCUAGGGGGCCAUCCCGGCUUACCAACCCGAUGCAAACUGCGAAUACCGGAGAAUGUUAUCACGGGAGACACACGGCGGGUGCUAACGUCCGUCGUGAAGAGGGAAACAACCCAGACCGCCAGCUAAGGUCCCAAAGUCAUGGUUAAGUGGGAAACGAUGUGGGAAGGCCCAGACAGCCAGGAUGUUGGCUUAGAAGCAGCCAUCAUUUAAAGAAAGCGUAAUAGCUCACUGGUCGAGUCGGCCUGCGCGGAAGAUGUAACGGGGCUAAACCAUGCACCGAAGCUGCGGCAGCGACACUCAGGUGUUGUUGGGUAGGGGAGCGUUCUGUAAGCCUGCGAAGGUGGCCUGUGAGGGUUGCUGGAGGUAUCAGAAGUGCGAAUGCUGACAUAAGUAACGAUAAAGCGGGUGAAAAGCCCGCUCGCCGGAAGACCAAGGGUUCCUGUCCAACGUUAAUCGGGG